CGCAGCCGCGGUAAUUCCAGCUCCAAUAGCGUAUAUUAAAGUUGUUGCAGUUAAAAAGCUCGUAGUUGAACUUCGGGGUUUACUCAUUGGUCAGGCUUAAUUGUCUGUACUGGUGAGAUGAGUCUCUACCUUCUGAGGAACUUUCAUGCCAUUUGUUUGGUGUGGUUGGAAAUCAGGACUGUUACUUUGAAAAAUUAGAGUGUUUAAAGCAGGCUAACGUCUGAAUACAUUAGCAUGGAAUAAUGAAAUAGGACGGAUUGAUUCUAUUUCGUUGGUUUCUAGGGUCACCGUAAUGAUUAAUAGGGAUAGUUGGGGGCAUUAGUAUUCAAUUGUCAGAGGUGAAAUUCUUGGAUUUAUUGAAGACUAACUACUGCGAAAGCAUUUGCCAAGGAUGUUUUCAUUAAUCAAGAACGAAAGUUAGGGGAUCGAAGACGAUCAGAUACCGUCGUAGUCUUAACCAUAAACUAUGCCGACUAGGGACCGGACGCAGUUAAUUUUAUAAUGACGUGUUCGGCACCUU
This 520-nucleotide ribosomal RNA is filed under the name uncultured Diversispora. RNAcentral's name for it is "SSU rRNA". It matches the Rfam family "Eukaryotic small subunit ribosomal RNA", at positions 569 to 1089 of the family's 1831-position model. Lineage: Eukaryota; Fungi; Glomeromycota; Glomeromycetes; Diversisporales; Diversisporaceae. The record is from RNAcentral.